This 468-nucleotide ribosomal RNA is filed under the name uncultured bacterium. RNAcentral describes it as "partial 16S ribosomal RNA". It matches the Rfam family "Bacterial small subunit ribosomal RNA", at positions 28 to 507 of the family's 1533-position model. The record is from RNAcentral.
AACGAACGCUGGCGGCGUGCUUAACACAUGCAAGUCGAACGGAAAGGCCCUGCUUUUGUGGGGUGCUCGAGUGGCGAACGGGUGAGUAACACGUGGGUAACCUGCCCGUGACUUUGGGAUAACUUCCGGAAACUGGGGCUAAUACCCGAUCGGAGCUCCUGCGGCAUGGUGGGGGCUGGAAAGUUUCGGCGGUUGGGGUUGGACUCGCGGGUUAUCAGCUUGGUGGUGGGGUAGUGGCAUACGAAGGCCGUGACGGGUAGCCCGCCUGAGAGGGGGACCGGGGACAUUGGUACUGAGGUACGGAGCAGACGCGUACGGUAGGCAGCAGGGGGGAAUCUGGCACAACGGGCGGAAGCGUGAUGCAGCAACGCUGCGUGCGGGAAGACGGCCUGUGGGGAGUAAACCGCUUGCGCCUGAGACGAAGCGUGAGUGACGGUAACGGGUAAAGAAGCACCGGCUAACUACGUG